This 436-nucleotide unclassified non-coding RNA is filed under the name uncultured Thelephoraceae. Its description in RNAcentral is "sequence contains ITS2". The stretch from base 1 to 155 matches the Rfam family "5.8S ribosomal RNA". Lineage: Eukaryota; Fungi; Basidiomycota; Agaricomycetes; Thelephorales; Thelephoraceae. The record is from RNAcentral.
AACUUUUGGCAACGGAUCUCUUGGCUCUCACAUCGAUGAAGAGCGCAGCGAAAUGCGAUAAGUAAUGUGAAUUGCAGAAUUCAGUGAAUCAUGGAAUCUUUGAACGCACCUUGCGCCCUUUGGCUAUUCCGAAGGGCAUGCCUGUUUGAGUAUCAUGAACACCUCAACUCUCAUGGUUCGCCAUGAUGAGCUUGGACUUUGGGGGUCUUGCCGGCCUGUGGUCUGCUCCCCUUAAAUGAAUCAGCUUGCCAGUGUUUGGUGGCGUCACAGGUGUGAUAACUAUCUACGCUUGUGGUUUUCCACCGGGUAACCUUCAGCAAUGGAGGUUCUCUGGAGCUCAUAAAUGUCUCUCCUGGGUGAGGACAGUCUUUGAACGUUUGAUCUCAAAUCAGGUAGGACUACCCGCUGAACUUAAGCAUAUCAAUAAGCGGAGGAU